CGGGGGGGGCAAGCGUUGUUCGGAAUUACUGGGCGUAAAGGGCUCGUAGGUGGCCAACUAAGUCAAACGUGAAAUCCCUCAGCUUAACUGGGGAACUGCGUCUGAUACUGGAUGGCUUGAGUUUGGGAGAGGGAUGCGGAAUUCCAGGUGUAGCGGUGAAAUGCGUAGAUAUCUGGAGGAACACCGGUGGCGAAGGCGGCAUCCUGGACCAAUACUGACACUGAAAAGCGAAAGCCAGGGGAGCAAACGGGAUUAGAUACCCCGGUAGUCCUGGCCCUAAACGAUGAAUGCUUGGUGUGGCGGGUAUCGAUCCCUGCCGUGCCGAAGCUAACGCAUUAAGCAUUCCGCCUGGGGAGUACGGUCGCAAGGCUG
RNAcentral lists this ribosomal RNA (372 nucleotides) under uncultured organism. RNAcentral describes it as "bacterial SSU rRNA". It matches the Rfam family "Bacterial small subunit ribosomal RNA", at positions 526 to 896 of the family's 1533-position model. The record is from RNAcentral.